This 253-nucleotide unclassified non-coding RNA is filed under the name uncultured Gammaproteobacteria bacterium. RNAcentral describes it as "contains 16S-23S intergenic spacer region". It matches the Rfam family "Bacterial small subunit ribosomal RNA", at positions 524 to 776 of the family's 1533-position model. The record is from RNAcentral. Lineage: Bacteria; Pseudomonadati; Pseudomonadota; Gammaproteobacteria.
UACGGAGGGUGCGAGCGUUAAUCGGAAUUACUGGGCGUAAAGCGCGCGUAGGCGGUUUUGUAAGUCGAAUGUGAAAGCCCCGGGCUUAACCUGGGAAUUGCAUCCGAUACUGCAAGGCUAGAGUAUGUUAGAGGGAAGUGGAAUUCCGGGUGUAGCGGUGAAAUGCGUAGAUAUCCGGAGGAACACCAAUGGCGAAGGCAACUUCCUGGGACAAUACUGACGCUGAGGUGCGAAAGCGUGGGGAGCAAACAGG